CGAAAGGAACGGAAGCAUGAAAUGAAUGAAGAAAAGAAAGAAGCACAUUAUUUUUCAUUUGUCUUUCUUGUUGUUCCUUUUCUCUUUUCCUUUAGUUGAAUUCAUGCUUUCAUUCCACUUCAUUAUAAUUCAACUAAAGGAAAAGGAAAAGAGAACACAAGAAGAAGAAAAUAAUGUAAUGAAUUGUUUUCUAUUGUGUCUUUUGUGCUUCUUCUUCAUUCCCGUUACAAUGAAUGAGAG
This 240-nucleotide non-coding RNA is filed under the name Symbiodinium sp. clade D. The record is from RNAcentral. Lineage: Eukaryota; Dinophyceae; Suessiales; Symbiodiniaceae.